UACGUAGGGUGCGAGCGUUGUCCGGAAUUAUUGGGCGUAAAGAGCUUGUAGGCGGUUUGUCGCGUCUGCUGUGAAAAUCCGGGGCUCAACCCCGGACUUGCAGUGGGUACGGGCAGACUAGAGUGUGGUAGGGGAGACUGGAAUUCCUGGUGUAGCGGUGAAAUGCGCAGAUAUCAGGAGGAACACCGAUGGUGAAGGCAGGUCUCUGGGCCACUACUGACGCUGAGAAGCGAAAGCGUGGGGAGCGAACAGG
RNAcentral lists this ribosomal RNA (253 nucleotides) under uncultured bacterium. RNAcentral describes it as "partial 16S ribosomal RNA". It matches the Rfam family "Bacterial small subunit ribosomal RNA", at positions 524 to 776 of the family's 1533-position model. The record is from RNAcentral.